This 474-nucleotide long non-coding RNA is filed under the name Salmo salar (Atlantic salmon). RNAcentral describes it as "lncRNA (ENSSSAG00000103807.1, ENSSSAG00020083911.1, ENSSSAG00075004486.1)". The record is from RNAcentral. Lineage: Eukaryota; Metazoa; Chordata; Actinopteri; Salmoniformes; Salmonidae.
GGAAGACGGAUGGCAGGGAAACUUGCUGACAAAAGAUGGCUUGCAGUUGCGUCAGAAAUCACAAAGCAACCGCACCAGGCGCCAUGUUGGAAGACCAAAGUCAGUCUGUUGGAAGUCCUCCAAUCAUCCACAUGGCUGGCUUUGUUUUGCUACCACCGGAAACUUCGGGAAGAUUGCACAUUAUUGUGUUUUUCUAAGGACCCAGAAAACAGAGGCAGUGGGAGAACCUAUUCAAAGAGAAGUUAGACCCUGUCUCCAGAUGAAGAGGUCCUAAUGAAUGUCCCAAGAGAAUAAGGAUUGGAAUGUCCACAGGGCAAUGUGUUCUCCAUUGAACGGACAAAGAGACGCCUUCAAGACCACUUAGUGGAACACAAGUACACCAUACGGGAUAAUGACCCAAAACACACCUCCAGGCUGUGUAAGGGCUAUUUGACCAAUAAGGUGAUGGAGUGAUGGAGUGCUGCAUCAGAUGAC